This 76-nucleotide transfer RNA is filed under the name Fidelibacterota bacterium. Its description in RNAcentral is "tRNA-Lys". It matches the Rfam family "tRNA". From Rfam's summary of the family: Transfer RNA (tRNA) molecules are approximately 80 nucleotides in length. The record is from RNAcentral. Lineage: Bacteria; Pseudomonadati; Fidelibacterota.
GCCCGUGUAGCUCAGUUGGUAGAGCAGGUGACUCUUAAUCACUUGGUCGGGGGUUCGAAUCCUCCCGCGGGCACGA